AGUCACUGACAUUAGAUACCCGUGUAGUCCUAGCCGUAAACGAUACUCGCUAGGUGUCGGCCACGGUGCGACCGUUGUCGGUGCCGUAGGGAAGCCGUGAAGCGAGCCACCUGGGAAGUACGGCCGCAAGGCUGGAAACUUAAAGGAAUUGGCGGGGGAGCACCACAACGGGUGGAGCUUGCGGUUUAAUUGGAUUCAACGCCGGAAAUCUUACCGGGACCGACAGCAACAUGAAGGCCAGGCUGAAGACUUUGCCGGAUUAGCUG
This 266-nucleotide ribosomal RNA is filed under the name uncultured archaeon. RNAcentral's name for it is "partial 16S ribosomal RNA". It matches the Rfam family "Archaeal small subunit ribosomal RNA", at positions 717 to 982 of the family's 1478-position model. The record is from RNAcentral.